GCUUGGAUAGUUCAGUUGGUUAGAGCAUGGUGCUGAUAACACCAAGGUUGCAGGUUCAAUUCCCGUAUGGGACAGCAGCA
This 80-nucleotide transfer RNA is filed under the name Podarcis lilfordi (Lilford's wall lizard). RNAcentral's name for it is "tRNA.Ile". The stretch from base 8 to 66 matches the Rfam family "tRNA", at positions 8 to 63 of the family's 71-position model. From Rfam's summary of the family: Transfer RNA (tRNA) molecules are approximately 80 nucleotides in length. Their secondary structure includes four short double-helical elements and three loops (D, anti-codon, and T loops). The record is from RNAcentral. Lineage: Eukaryota; Metazoa; Chordata; Lepidosauria; Squamata; Lacertidae.